This 253-nucleotide ribosomal RNA is filed under the name uncultured bacterium. RNAcentral's name for it is "partial 16S ribosomal RNA". It matches the Rfam family "Bacterial small subunit ribosomal RNA", at positions 524 to 776 of the family's 1533-position model. The record is from RNAcentral.
UACGUAGGGGGCCAGCGUUGUCCGAAGUUACUGGGCGUAAAGAGCGCGUAGGCGGGUCUUUAAGUGAGAGGUGAAAUUCUGAGGCUCAACCUCGGAACUGCCUUUCAUACUGGGGACCUUGAGUGCGGGAGAGGCGAGUGGAAUGGUCGGUGUAGCGGUGAAAUGCGUAGAUAUCGAUCGGAACACCCAUGGCGAAGGCAGCUCGCUGGCCUGCAACUGACGCUGAGGCGCGAAAGCCGGGGGAGCAAACAGG